Molecule: ribosomal RNA, 195 nt
Filed under: uncultured Achromobacter sp.
Lineage: Bacteria; Pseudomonadati; Pseudomonadota; Betaproteobacteria; Burkholderiales; Alcaligenaceae
Description: partial 16S ribosomal RNA
Rfam family: Bacterial small subunit ribosomal RNA
Source: RNAcentral
UCCUACGGGAGGCAGCAGUGGGGAAUUUUGGACAAUGGGGGAAACCCUGAUCCAGCCAUCCCGCGUGUGCGAUGAAGGCCUUCGGGUUGUAAAGCACUUUUGGCAGGAAAGAAACGUCAUGGGUUAAUACCCCGUGAAACUGACGGUACCUGCAGAAUAAGCACCGGCUAACUACGUGCCAGCAGCCGCGGUAAU